This is a long non-coding RNA of Alexandromys fortis (reed vole), 1742 nucleotides long. RefSeq lists it as uncharacterized. Lineage: Eukaryota; Metazoa; Chordata; Mammalia; Rodentia; Cricetidae. The transcript is spliced from 4 exons. The record is from RefSeq and is a predicted model, not a curated record.
CUGCUCUGCUCCCGGAGAGACCCAACAGCUCUGCUCUCUGGAGCAGAGACGCCAGGCUCCGCUCUCCCAGGCAGCUCCGACCCAGGAUGGAUGGAGGCUAGAAUCUUCCCAUUGGUCUGUUUGCCUAUGUUGGAACACAGUCAAAAGAAUGAUGCAUGGUGAACAAUGUCUUGGAGACCGAUGACAGACGCUUCAGGAAAACACUCAGAAGACCUUACAGCUCAGAUAACAGGAAUCCCAAACAGUAGCCAAAGCUGGCCAAGAACCCUCAGUCCUCCUAUCCUCUUUGAAUCCAUGAAUUCAAUUUACCUCCUAGACCAGAACACCCUCAGGUCCAGACCCUGAGUUCUCAAAGCCCUGGAAGCCUUGUAGGUCAGUAUCUCUCUUGGCUGUGACACUCACUGCGCUCCCGAGCAAAGCAGAAAAUAUUUACACAGCCGCAGAAGGAGCUGUCUGGAGCCAGGAAGAUCAGACGGCGGCUGACUGAAAGUAAUACAUGUGCCAGAGAGUGGCUGCUGACAGAGGACCGUGGAGAGCACGUGGAUUGCAGAGAGUGGGCUCCAGAAGACAGUGGCAAGAGCAGGCAAGGUGGAGACGCGAGGCAAGCUCUUUGAAGGUGCACAUCCAUGUAGCUGCCUUCCACAUCAAAAGAUGGAGCAGGUCUGGAGAAAGGGCUCAGCAGUUUAGAGUUCUUGCAGCUCCUGCAAAAGACCUGAGUUUGGUUUUCAGCCAUCUGUAACUACUCCAGCUGCAGUGACUCCAACGCCCUCUUCUGGCCUCCAUUGUCACUUACCCACCUAUGACUUAUACACACCGAGACAUGUAUUAUAUACAUAUACAAUAAAUUUUAAAAAUAAAUAUUUUUUUAGGUUACAGAGAAUUUCUAGAAGUCAAUAUGUCCCUCCUCGUCAGCUCCCAUCCAUAGAAGGACCCCUCAAAGCCUGGCACUACAGGCAACGAUGCCUGCUCUCGAAUUACACAGCUCUCCUUGCUCAGUUGCACACCCUCUCUUUCGUCUUCUCUCCCCACACUGUGACGAUGGUGCUCUACAACGCUGCCACACAGAUCAAUGGUUUGUUCUCUUCGUUGUUGGGUAGCCCCAUGUUUUAGAAAUAGACAGCAUGUUGUUUCUCUGUUCAUCUGCUGUUAGAUAUUUGGGGUUAUUCCUUGCUUUUGACCAUUAUUAUUGGAUAUUAGCCUCUUUAUCCACAAUGUUUGGUGGACAGAAGUACCAUUUAUAUUGGGAAUGUAUCCAAGAGUAGAAUCCCUGACCAAACAGCAGAUGGACAACACACUUUCACAGGUGUUGUCAACCCAUUUCCCACAUCUAGCAACAAAAACAAAAAAGAUGACCGCUGCAGUACCCCUGGCUUUCAGCACCUGGCAUUUGUAGCUACCUGGAUGUCAAGGAACAGCUGAUUCCAUUUUUCCUUUAGUCAAAUUUUGAUUUAUUUCUCUAUCGUUCCCUAUGGUGUCUGCUUUAAUCAUUGCCCCAGGGUGAAAGUUAAACUGCAAGUCUGCUUGUUUUUGAAACUUCUUCUUCCUCUAUAAUCUUGUGACCUGUACAUUAUAAGUUGUUUCCAUUAUGACUGACUAUAAACCCACAACAUGUGCUUUUCUCAUAACUGACUGUGCAUGCCUUCAACUCCAGCGCUCAGGAGGCAGAGCCUGGUGGAUCUCUGUGAGUUCAAGUCCAGCCUGGUCUACGGAGCUAGUUUCAGGACAGACAAGGCCACAUAAAG